GGAGAGGUGUCCGAGCGGCCGAAGGAGCACGCUUGGAAAGCGUGUGUAUCUUUACGGGUACCGAGGGUUCGAAUCCCUCCCUCUCCGCCA
Molecule: transfer RNA, 90 nt
Filed under: Pseudomonadota bacterium
Lineage: Bacteria; Pseudomonadati; Pseudomonadota
Description: Proteobacteria bacterium (cold seep metagenome) tRNA-Ser
Rfam family: tRNA
About the family: Transfer RNA (tRNA) molecules are approximately 80 nucleotides in length. Their secondary structure includes four short double-helical elements and three loops (D, anti-codon, and T loops).
Source: RNAcentral